CAUGUAGGCGGCAUGACAAGUCUGGUGUGAAAUAUCUCGGCUCAACCGAGAAAACGCACUGGAAACUGUCAAGCUUGAGUAUCGGAGGGGAAGCUAGAAUUCCUGGUGUAGGGGUGAAAUCUGUAGAUAUCAGGAAGAAUACCGGUGGCGAAGGCGAGCUUCUGGCCAGAUACUGACGCUGAGAUGCGAAAGCGUGGGGAGCGAACAGGAUUAGAUACCCGAGUAGUCC
This 229-nucleotide ribosomal RNA is filed under the name uncultured bacterium. RNAcentral's name for it is "partial 16S ribosomal RNA". It matches the Rfam family "Bacterial small subunit ribosomal RNA", at positions 568 to 796 of the family's 1533-position model. The record is from RNAcentral.